Molecule: non-coding RNA, 5868 nt
Organism: Equus caballus (horse)
Lineage: Eukaryota; Metazoa; Chordata; Mammalia; Perissodactyla; Equidae
Source: RefSeq, a predicted model, not a curated record
GGGGCCAUUGGAGAUUGGUGGGAGCCGUUGGGGGCUGGCUGGGGCCGUUGGAGCUGCAGACAGCUGCCGGGAGCGCUGAGGGAGGCCAAGCCUGCACCCAGGGUGGGUCGACUGAAACAAAGGGGACCAGAAGGUGGGCGCCCAGGAGCAGGUGCCGUGGGGACACCGGCCCACCAGCGCCCUGGAUCCUGAGGGGCGAGGAAUCCAGCCCGGAGCCCGCAGCCGCGCGAGGCCGAGGCCCGGGCUGAUGAGCGAGAGCCGGGGCGCCCCAGGGUCCCCUCCUGCCUCGGGCCGCCCGCGCGGCAAGGAGUGUGUCUGGGUGCAGGAGGAGGCCGAGCCCGCUGGACUGUCCUCGGGAGAGUCCGGCCCACAGGGGGCUCGGCUCGCCCCCAAGUCCGGGGCCGCGUCUGCUCAGAGGCCGGAGGCGCCCGCCGCCUCGCCGCGGCAGCCGCGGGACAAGCGCGGGCUCCUGGACUGGACACAGUUUCCCGCCUCCCUGUGGCUGUUUCCCGACCUGUUGGAGCACAGGCUCCAGUUUUAGAGGCUGUGGAGGACUGGGGCAGGGCACGGCUCCGACUUCAGGGUCUGACAGCUGUGCUUUCUCCAAACACUCAUCCAGGGAGCUGGGGGCCAGGUGGCCUUUGUCGGUUCUCCUCUUUCCUCCUGAAGUCAGGGCCUGGACCGGCUGCCCUGCUCAACCUCAGGAACCUCCUUUUUACUUUUAUUUUAUGAUUAGUUGCCUUUGGUCUCCUCAUUCCUCCAUGGGGUGCACUGAGGCCCCUGCAUUUGCUCACGCCUUCCUGUAUCCAUACUCUUGGGGAACCCUCCCACCCUGAGCCUGGGCUUGGACUGGUGACUUCUUUUGGCCGAUGGGACAUAGGAAAGGCGAUGCAAAAGGAAACUCGAAAAUUUCUUGCUGCUCCUGGAAACCUGCCUCCAUAUAAGCAAACCCUGGCUAUUCUGACAGACGACAUGGCCCAGCACCCCCAAAGACUGAGCUGAGAUCCCAGCUGAGAGAGAGGCCAUCUGGGAUCCUCCAGCCCAUCUCCCAGCGCACCUGCCACUUGGCCCCAGACAACAAUGACUUGGACUUAAGAAUUCUUUGGUGUUUGAAGAUUCUCUGCUCAGUAAUAUUUGUGGGACUGUCAUUCAUGGACAGACGCCCUUCUUUUAAGUUUUAUUAGACAAUCUAAAUUUAGAGAAGAGACUGAAAGAUGAAUUUGGGGAUGUGAAAUCUGAACUCUGGGAGCGUUAUUCCUGUUUCUUGAGAAGGAAGAAAACAUUGAUUGUACGCCUGCCACAUGCUGCACCCUUUGCUUAGUCAUUUCACAAAGAUGUCCUUUGUCCUUGAACAAUCUCAGGAAAAAAAAAAGUGGCAUAGAUAUCCCUGCCCUUGGAUGCCUUUUGACUUGUCUUCUCUCCAAAUCACAGAAUUGCUGCUGGCAGAGGGGACCUUAAUGCCACCUAGACCCACUCCCAUUGCACGGGAAUGCUUUCAGAGGAGUCAAGCCUUGCAGCCUCUUCCUUGACAUUCAAACCAGAGCAGAGCCUGACAGGAAUCACUCACAUCUGGUCCACAUGGCAUCAGCUGAGAUGGCUCCAAUCAAGACUGGACAAUCCACUUUCAAUACAGAUCACCCACAUGGCUGGCAGGUUACUGCUGGCUGCUGGCUGGCUGCUCAGCUGGUCUGGGGCCUGGGCGUGAGGGGCCUUGCUUCCUCUCCGGUGGGCUUCUCCUCAGCUGCUUGGGUUUCCUCACUGGAGGAUGGCUGAGGUCCCAGAGCAAAUGUCCCAAGAGAUCCAGACAAAAGGGGGUGGUGCUUUUAUGCUCUAUCCUUGGAAUCACAUAGCAUACAAUUCCAUUGCACCUUGUUAGUUGAGGGGGUCACAAAGUUCCACCCAGGUUAAAAGGAAGGGGACAUAGAUUGCACCCAUGGGGUAGUGGCACGGUCAUGUUGUAAGAUGAGCAUGUGGGAUGAGAGAGGUUCUUAUAUUCUAAAGUCAGUAUUUACCUCUUUCAUUAACAAAGACCUUGAAACACAUUGUCUUCCACAUGUCCCCUAUGCUCUUUGUAUAUAUUUAGUUGAAUGCUUUUAUUUUGCUUGGUUUUACCCCAUAAAUUAGACAUUUUGAUUUCUAUAAUGUUUGAACCAACGAAUACAUCUCUAAAGAAUAUAGCUUACUUUUGCUUGUUUUUGAACUUUUUACAAAUGGAAUCACAUGUUAGGAAUGAUUUUUGUUCACGCCUCUUUUGCUCAAAGUGUAAGUGUCUAAGACUUAUGCAUGUCACUGCAUGUAGCUGUGCCUUGUUCGUUUUCAUUGUUGCCUGGCUCUCUGUGCUAUAACAGAUGACAGUUUACCAGCUGCGCUGUAGAUGGACUCUGGGCCAUUUCCAGGUUUGUUGAUUAGAAUUCACAUAUCCUAGUGCAAAUGUGCAUGAGUUUCUUUGAUGUGUACCCCCAAGAGGGAUAUUGCAGAUGCUUCUAUUACUACAUAAUACCAAACUGUACCAAUUUCUACUCCCACUGGCUAGUAUGAGAAUUCCUGUUCCAAAGCCCUGUUGCUAUAAUCUGAUUUUGCCAGAUUUUUUUCUUGUUUAUGGUAAGUUUGUAAUGGAAAACACUACCUUUAAUCUUACCUUAAUCUCUGCUGACUGCAUGCUAUCUUCCCAAAGAACCAGUGUUAUCUCCUCCUGAUGCAUAGCUCAUAGCUGCCUGACUUGGUUGUACAGAAGUGUUCUGCUGAGGAUAUGGCAGAGCAGAGAGAGAACAUGCCUGUAUUAGCAAAACUCUGCAUCCUUCCAUUUCUGCUUGCAGGCUGGCUAGAUUUAGCUAGAGUUCCUGUCUCUUAUAGGACUUAGAGCAGUCAAAAAAAAAUUGUCUACAUAAGCCAUCAUUCUGGAUCUUUCCUACCAUUUCCUUAAUGCCACAGAUUUUGUCAAAUUGUGGUCUACCCUCCAAAGUAAUGCAAGCCUCGAAACCUAACCGAAGAUUUUACCACCAUGUAAUGUGAGGCGCCAGCUUUUCAACCUGGGCCCAGCUGAAAUUCAGGGGAUCUAUUACUAUGGAAAAAGGGAAGAUGGACAUCGGUGGACCACUAACAAUCUUGGCCACAGCUUCCUUCUGGCAUCACUUUUUUUGUCCUUGUUAACUUGUUUUCUGGAAAAGUCUUUAUAUUGUCCUAAUUCUUGGAUAGCAGAGCUGGGUUGACUAUUCUUUUUUCUCAUUCUACUGUCUUCUAGCUGUCACUGUUAAUGGGGAACAGUUGGGUGUCCUUCUUUUUCUCCUAGCUCCUUUCAAGAACACUUUUGUAUUUGGCAUUUCCAUGAUUCCUCAACAAUGUAACCAAGAAGUAAGUUAUUAUAAAUUGGUCCUACUUGGUACACAUUGGGAUUCCUGAAUUUGUAGAUUGAUGAGAAUUUCAGAAAAUUCUCAGCCUUUUCUCUUUCAUGCUGACUUUCCCCAUUUUCUCUCUUCUCUCUCUUUGGAACUCCAACUGGAUGUUUGACUUUCUCAUUUUACCCUCUGUAUAUCUUAAUUUCUCUUUCCUCUUGUUUAUUCCUCUGUCUCUAUUCUCCUUGUAAUUUCUUCAUAUAUUUUUCUAGUUCACCAAACUCCUCUCCAAUACUAUCUUAUUGUUUAAUCUUCCCAUUGUAUUUUAAAUUGUGAUAUUUUUCAUUUCUAAAUUGCGAAAAGUAUUAAUAAUUAGACAUUGUGUUUUAAAAAACAAUUUAAUUAACAGAAUUAUAUCUAUGUGAAAUGAUAUACACUAAUAUAAUAAGAAUCCUCUAUAAGGGAUUUUAAAACAAACAUCAAAUCCACCCAUUCAUUCCUUCAGGCUUGAAAGCCUGUGAGGGCCCUGUGCAGUCCUGUGUACGGCCAUAAUGGUCUGGAAGAGUAUCUUCCCAUGAGGAAGGUGGUAACUUUCUCUUGCAAAUCAUAAAUGGAAGACACCCUUGGGUUGGGAUAGGGUAUCGGAUAGAAGGAAAUGCAGAGGUUAGUGGCUAUGGAGGUGGUGGUGGGCUUUCCAGUGGGGACAUGAUGAUGGACACUUCUCGCAACAUUGGGUGCUCUUUACACCAGUGCGAACUGAGGGGGGGCACUCCUUGGACCAUUGUCUUUCAGUGAGGGGACAGCAGGGGACAGAACUGGGUUAGAUGUCUGUGCAGUUAGAGCUUUUACUCUUGUUCCUCAUUUCCAGAAAUAUCUAAAGGAGAAAAGAGGAAAAACUUAGGUGUGUUUUCCAUGGAUUGAGUGGUAGAGGUCUACACCUUUCACACAGCAUGGGCUCCAAGAGACUCCGUGGCUUCUGGUAAAGGCUUCCAGGUCCCCAUGAGGGUAGAACCUCUCUUUGCUCCACUUGAUGAGGCUGGGCUGAGACUCCUCCUUUCAGAGGCAUUUCUUUGCUCUCUUUUGAUUCUCUCCAAUGAUUCUCUCCAUCUGUCUCUCUUUUCUAUAGCCUAAUGCCUGUGAUUCUUGCUUUAGACCUUUUUUGGGUUCCCAUAAUCCUUACUUCUGUUCCUAUAGAAAAUGGUUUACUUGUUAACUUCUUAGUUACCUGGCUUCCCAUUCAAAAUGUAACUACCCUAAGGUUACAAGCUUGGUCUUCAUUCACUGCUGUAUCCCCAGUGCUUAGAAUAAUGUAUGGUCCAGAGUAAGUGCUUUAUAAAUAUUUUCUGACUGUUGAAUUCUUAUUUUACUUGAGAUACUUUGCAAAGGUAGAAUUGGGUAAUUUUUGGAUCAUUCCUAAGUAAAUCCCACUGAAAUGAGCAUGUGCAGAAGUGCAGCAGGUUCUGCUCUACUAAAUGAGUACAAUGUUUGGCAAGGAUGUUCGGAGCAGGCUUUUCAUGGAUGGAAUUCAGUAAUCUCAUCUCUGCCUUGCACAAAAGGUCUGGACUGCUCGGGAAGGGUCAGAAACCCCAUGGCAAUAGUGACAUUUACCAGUGGAUAUCUGUGUUAUCUAGAAUAUGGGUUGAGCUGUUCCAACAGGAUUCCUAAGAGUAGUUUCUUAAAAGGGUACAAUUUAAAAUAUCUUGAGUAUCUAGGCAUAAACUUACUAAAAGAUUAUGAUCUUUAUAAAAGAUUGCAACAUUUUAUUGAGGGAGGGACAUAAACAUGAGAAACUGACAAGAUAUAUAGAUCGUUCAUGGAUUGAAAACUUAAUAUUGUAAAUCAGUCAAUAUUGCUUUAAAUUAUAGAAACAAUGCAAUCCCAACUGGCUUUAUGCUGGAUCUGUACUAGCUGGUUAAAAAAUGUAUAUGACAACUCAGAAGGAUCAAUAAUAGCCAAGACUCUCUUGGAGAAAAGAAGGAAGGCAAGAGGAUUGCCCUUACCUGUUGCCGCAGUAGAUUAUUGAAUUCUAGUAAAGAGGAAGGACAGUGUGGCAUUGGCCCAGGGACAGAGUCAUAGAGUGGGGGAGAAUAGAGGCCAGAAUAAGACCCUGCAUGGAUGGACCCUGGGUUUUUGAGAGGCAACAGUUCUGUGCAGUGAAGAAAGGACAGUGUUUUCAAUAGAAAAUGCUAAGGUUUAUGGCUGUGUUUUCACAGGAUUUUAUAUAUGAUAGUGAAACCAUCUGAUGUUAUCUGGUGAAGUCAGUGGGGAAAUUCCUGUGCAUCACGAUCUCACAAAAAUGUUCAAAGUAGCUCUGUUGAUAACGGCCAGAAUGUGGAAACAACUCAAAUGGCCACUGCAGUACCCUGAUGUCACGGCCGACUCUACAGGAGCAUGGCGACCAAGGAUGAAAAGCACAAAAACAACACUGAAGGAAAGAAGCAAGUCACACAGGAAGAUAUGCUAUGAUCCACUUAUAGGAAGCUCAAAAACAAACAGGAAAACCAAACAAUUCUUGAUUGAAAAGGGCAUAAUUAGG